GCACAGUAUAUGUUAACAAUAAAUAAUAGGUUAUUAUAAUUGCUUUUCUUUAUGUAAAAACAAAUAUAAUACAAAAUAACAUGAAAUAUAAUACAAAGAAUGUUUGUCUUUUUAAAAUGUUGCACAGAUAUUUCUGUUCAUUCUUUUAUACAUAGAAACAUUUGUACAAAGGGAUGGCUAUGGAAGGGCACUGUCCUGCUUGUAGAUAUGGUCACACAGUUGUUUUACAUAUGUACAUGCCAUACAGAACACGUAACAGCAGCUAAGGGCGGGCAGGGGAUGGACGGAGGUGUUAUCACACACACGCACACAGACACAUACAAACAACACACACAUACACAUCCACUGUUCAGAUCAGAGAGAAUCCUUAUCUACUGUAGCGAUAAAAUACACUCAGACACUCGCUUUAUCUAGAGAGGUGUGAUAUAUCCCCACCAGUGUUAGAAGAUAGCAUUGGAAGAGCUGUGGGAUAGUGUUGUUAAUUUUCAUCUUCUACCUUACAGAGCAGAAUACGCUCUGAAGAAGCCAGCAUGGUAUUCUCUCUCUCUACCUCUCUCUCUCUCCAUCUUUUUCAUUAUCUCUACAGCUCUCUCUCUUUUUCUCACUCCCUCUACAUCUCUCUCUCUCUACUUCUACCUCUCUCUCUCCCUCUCCUUUCUCUCUAUCCUGUUUCAGUUUGAAUGAAUAACACACAUCCUGAGAUUUCACAUUAGGACUAGGAACUAGGAAGCUUGGAGUUAUGCAUCAUCACCUACUGUAUGAUAAGCAGACAGGUGGUAGUUAGUUACAGUUCUGUAUGAUAAGCAGACAGGUGGUAGUUAGAUACAGUUCUGUAUGAUAAGCAGACAGGUGGUAGUUAGUUACAGUUCUGUAUGAUAAGCAGACAGGUGGUAGUUAGAUACAGUUCUGUAUGAUAAGCAGACAGGUGGUAGUUAGUUACAGUUCUCUAUGAUAAGCUGACAGGUGGUAGUUAGUUACAGUUCUCUAUGAUAAGCAGAAGGGUGGUAGUUAGUUACAGUUCUCUAUGAUAAGCAGAAGGGUGGUAGUUAGUUACAGAUACAGUUGAAGUCAGAAGUUUACAUACACUUAGGUUGGAGUCAUUAAAACUCGUUUUUCAACCACCCCACAAAUUUCUUGUUAACAAACUAUAGUUUUUGGCAAGUCGGUUAGGACAUCUACUUUGUGCAUGACACAAAUAAUUUUGUUUACAGACAGAUUAUUUCACUUAUAAUUCACUGUAUCACAAUUCAGAAGUCAGAAGUUUACAUACACUAAGUUGACUGUGUCUAUUAACAGCUUGGAAAAUUCCAGAAAGAAGCUUCUGAUAGGCUAAUUGACAUAAUUUGAGUCAAUUGGAGGUGUACCUGUGGAUGUAUUUCAAGGCCUACCUUCAAACUCAGUGCCUUUGCUUGACAUAAUGGGGAAAUCAAAAUAAAUAAGCCAAGACCUCAGAAAAAAAUGUAGACCUCCACAAGUCUGGUUCAUCCUUGGGAGCAAAUUCCAAAUGCCUGAAGGUACCACGUUCAUCUGUAUAAACAAUAGUACACAAGUAUAACACCAUGGGACCACGCAGCUGUCAUACCGCUCAGGAAGGAGACGCGUUCUGCCUCCUAGAGAUGAGUGUACUUUGGUGCGAAAAGUGCAAAUCAAUCCCAGAACAACCGCAAAGGACCUUGUGAAGAUGCUGGAUGAAACAGGUUCCACAAGUAUCUAUAUCCACAGUAAAACGAGUCCGCUCAGAGAGGAAAAAGCCACUGCUCCAAAACUGCCAUAAAAAAGCCAGACUACGGUUUCCAACUGCACAUGGGGACAAAGAUCGUAGUUUUUGGAGAAACAUCCUCUGGUCUGAUGAUACAAAAAUAGAACUGUUUGGCCAUAUUGACCAUCGUUAGGUUUGGAGGGAAAGGGGGAGGCUUGCAAGCCGAAGAACACCAUCCCAAUCAUGUUGUGGGGGUGCUUUGCUGCAGGAGGGACUGGUGCACUUCACAAAAUAGAUGGCA
This is a long non-coding RNA of Oncorhynchus tshawytscha (Chinook salmon), 2000 nucleotides long. Lineage: Eukaryota; Metazoa; Chordata; Actinopteri; Salmoniformes; Salmonidae. The record is from Ensembl.